Molecule: ribosomal RNA, 528 nt
Filed under: uncultured bacterium
Lineage: Bacteria
Description: bacterial SSU rRNA
Rfam family: Bacterial small subunit ribosomal RNA
Source: RNAcentral
AAUAGAUACCCCGGUAGUCCACGCCGUAAACGAUGUCGACUUGGAGGUUGUGCCCUUGAGGCGUGGCUUCCGGAGCUAACGCGUUAAGUCGACCGCCUGGGGAGUACGGCCGCAAGGUUAAAACUCAAAUGAAUUGACGGGGGGCCCGCACAAGCGGUGGAGCAUGUGGUUUAAUUCGAUGCAACGCGAAGAACCUUACCUACUCUUGACAUCCAGAGAACUUAGCAGAGAUGCUUUGGUGCCUUCGGGAACUCUGAGACAGGUGCUGCAUGGCUGUCGUCAGCUCGUGUUGUGAAAUGUUGGGUUAAGUCCCGCAACGAGCGCAACCCUUAUCCUUUGUUGCCAGCGGUUAGGCCGGGAACUCAAAGGAGACUGCCAGUGAUAAACUGGAGGAAGGUGGGGAUGACGUCAAGUCAUCAUGGCCCUUACGAGUAGGGCUACACACGUGCUACAAUGGUAUAUACAAAGAGAAGCGACCUCGCGAGAGCAAGCGGACCUCAUAAAGUAUGUCGUAGUCCGGAUUGGAGU